RNAcentral lists this ribosomal RNA (500 nucleotides) under uncultured bacterium. RNAcentral's name for it is "partial 16S ribosomal RNA". It matches the Rfam family "Bacterial small subunit ribosomal RNA", at positions 29 to 523 of the family's 1533-position model. The record is from RNAcentral.
AUUGAACGCUGGCGGCAUGCCUUACACAUGCAAGUCGAACGGCAGCACGGGAGCAAUCCCGGUGGCGAGUGGCGAACGGGUGAGUAAAGUAUCGGAACGCGCCCAGUCGUGGGGGAUAACGUAGCGAAAGUUACGCUAAUACCGCAUACGAUCUAUGGAUGAAAGCGGGGGAUCGCAAGACCUCGCGCGAUUGGAGCGGCCGAUAUCAGAUUAGGUAGUUGGUGGGGUAAAGGCGCACCAAGCCGACGAUCGGUAGCUGGUCUGAGAGGACGACCAGCCACACUGGGACUGAGACACGGCCCAGACUCCUACGGGAGGCAGCAGUGGGGAAUUUUGGACAAUGGGCGAAAGCCUGAUCCAGCCAUGCCGCGUGCAGGAUGAAGGCCUUCGGGUUGUAAACUGCUUUUGUACGGAACGAAAAGGUUUGGGCUAAUAAGCUGAGCUCAUGACGGUACCGUAAGAAUAAGCACCGGCUAACUACGUGCCAGCCGCCGCAGUAA